CUCACAUGGAAGGUUUGACUUAGGUUUCAUUUUGUUUUCUUUCUUCCUUCCAUUCUCACUCAUUUGAUCAUCAAAAAGCUUUAUGCUACACAUGAAACUCAUAGGAAAAGGUCCAAUGAAUCCAUUCCCACCAUUAGUUUGAACUACCAUUGUUUGUGUGAGGAGAUAUUCUCUUCCCCCUUUGCGUGGCACUAUUCAUCAAGAAGGCAAAAUGGAGCUUUUGAUGGAGAUUCUCUUGGUGAAUGUCUUCUAGGUUUUGGAUAGGUGAUUAGAGGUGUGCCUAGGGAUUGAGAAGGAUCGGAAAUCUCUUGAAGCGAUAAAAGUAACUUGUUCCACAAGUAAGCGUAUUGGUAAAGCUUCAAGAGGUGCCCAGAUUCCCGGUGAGUCCUCACUAGGCAGGGACACGACACGUGGCUGAGGCAGUUGACAGAUUGGAUUUUGAGUGGCUGUAGGCUACUACCUUUUUGGAGUGUUUGAUGUAUUUUAGUAUUUUCGCAUUUGAUGGAUCAUGAUAUUGAUCCUUUAUUGUGUAUAUGGCCUGUAUAUGUUUUGUACAUGUCUGUCGCUUUGAUGCAUGUACAUUUGGGUAUUCAGGCACGUUAUAUGAUGAGGUAGUAUUCAGAUAUGUUUACGUGUUGGAUUGCAUGCUGUUAGAUAUAGUGGCACUGAGCCAAGUUAUGCAUGCGCCCAUGG
Gastrolobium bilobum is the source of this 693-nucleotide long non-coding RNA. RefSeq lists it as uncharacterized. The transcript has 3 exons. NCBI's taxonomy places the organism in Eukaryota, Viridiplantae, Streptophyta, Magnoliopsida, Fabales, Fabaceae. The record is from RefSeq and is a predicted model, not a curated record.